RNAcentral lists this signal recognition particle RNA (99 nucleotides) under bovine gut metagenome. RNAcentral's name for it is "Bacteroidales small SRP". It matches the Rfam family "Bacteroidales small SRP", at positions 8 to 103 of the family's 107-position model. From Rfam's summary of the family: The non-coding component of the signal recognition particle in Bacteroides The record is from RNAcentral.
CGGGAAAGUCUUGUACGACCAGCUCCCUCUGAACUCCCCCAGGACGGGAACGUAGCAAGGGUAGGAGGUUGUAGCGGUGCGAUACAAGGGGCUUUCCCU